AUGCAUGAUAUGAUUGAUAAGCAGCUCCCUCUCCUACAGACAGUAUGCUCAGGGUAGCUGAACCACUGUUUCUCUUUAUAAAGUUGAACGAGCUGCCACUUUCACUUGGCCUCCAGAGUCUCCACCUACACCCUUGUGCUUCCCCACCACACUGAUGACUCAAGACAAGGCUAGCAAACCCCGCUGGAGACAUCCUGGGCACAGGCAUUCUCUCUCAUGAGGCACAGCCAAGCCAAAUGCUCAUGUUGUGCCAGUGAGCCAGCCAUGGAGCAAAAGAGCGUUUGUUUUUAGUCUCCAGUGUCUGGUCAGAACCAGAGAGGAUGCUGGAUGCCUCCUGCUUACUCAGUAAGCCUGCCCAGCCUGAGUCAGUGCUCCCAGCUGACAGUGCAAGGCUUGCAGAAGUAGGAGGAGCCAAGUCUUCACUGGGAAGCACAAGAAGCAAAGGCAAGUUCCAAAGUGCCUCACUCCAAAGGAGGCCCCGGCCCCUGGAGCCAGGGUAUACAGCAAAGCUUUGGCUGAGACUUGGGAUGUGAGAUGCCAUGAACUUUGUUGAACAGUGUCUCUGUUCAGCAAACUAACCAGCAUUCCCCACAACACAGCCUAGGGCAGACAAUAGUAUAGAGGAGUUCUGAAGAAACAUCAGUGUCUGAGAACCUUGGGCCACUCCUGUCCCUGUAACCUCAGUCGUCAAUGCAGAAGCCUGGCUUUACUCUGUUAAGAUUGGAAAUGUAUAGUACCAAAUGCUCUGUCCACUGUUGAGCCCCAAGGAUGGAAGGGAGGAGAGCAUUUUUUUCUGUAUGAAUUGAAUAGAUGGAGGCCACAGGGGUUGGGCUGGACUAAAGGCAUCCUUGUCUUUUGAGCUGUUCCUCUCAGUAGAAAAAAAAUCUAAUGGAAGAUCACUGUAGUUUAGAUCCACUGACCCAAGUACCUACCCCUUGGAAAUGCCUGUGGGGUAGUUUUAAUUCCACAGGUCAUCAGAGGCCUGCUUUACACCUGAUGAUCAAAACCAACUUUUAUCUUUCUAUUCUAAUUGUGUUCGAUGGACCUGAUCUAUACCAUGACCCUACACAGGCUGGAUGGGGUCCAGUUUCUAACAGGCCUUGCUUUGUGGGCGUGCUGACAACUUAUCUGGGUGCCUUACAUCUUUUUUAAUCAGUGUUGCAUCUGAGCCUGCUCUGCUUCCUCCCUGCUCCCUCUGUGGAGUUCUUUUGCACCUGAGAGCCUGCAGAAGUGGCUAGUAGAAAAGGGGGCCUGGCUGGAGAAUUAUCAGUAUAGCUGUUUGCAGGAUUCCCUUCUGGACUUUGUUUUGGAAACUUUCCUUAGGGCUGUUUUUAUUAAUUGCCCACAUAUGAUGGAGGGUGGAAGGAAUUUGAAUGUAUUUGACUUAUAAUUUUUUUUUAAUAUUAAAAGAUGGUUGUAGCAUUUAAAAUGGAAACUUUUUCUCCUAGUUAGCUAGUAUCCUGAGUGUAUUCUCUGUAAGUGUAGCUCAAAUGGGUCAGCGUGAAAAGUUAAAGAAAGCACGAUGUCAAGGUUACACGGGUGGUUAAGGCCAGGGCCUCUCCUACCACUGUGCCACAGACUUGCUGUGUGACCCUGGGCAAGUCAUUUAACUAUAAUGUGCCUCGGUUUUCCUUCUGUUAAAAUGAGAUAAUAAUACUGACCUACCUCAAAGGGCAGUUUUGAGGCGUGACUAAUGCUUUUUAUAAAGCAUUUUGGGAUCCUUCAGCAAAGGAAUUCUCUUAAGUCCUGAGUAUUUUUAUAGUAGCAGUAUCCACCGUGAACUGUGUCCACCAUGAACCACGUGUCCUGGAUGCUAUCAUGGAUCUAUAUGGUUCUCUCUGAGAGAUUGAAUAAACCCAUUAGAUAAGUGGUGGAUAACUAGCCAGACAAAAAUCUGAGAAUGCAUAAACUCGUUGCCAUGGAAACAUACACAGGAUACCUUUUCCUUGAUUGGGUGGGAUUUUUCCCUUUUUAUGUGGGAUAGUAGUUAUUUGUGACCUAAGAAUAAUUUUGGAAUAAUUUCUAUUAAUAUCAACUCUGAAGCUAGUUGUACUGAUCUGAGAUUGUGUUUGUUCCUAAUAAAAGUGAAGUGAAUCUGA
Non-coding RNA from Delphinapterus leucas (beluga whale), 2099 nucleotides. The record is from RefSeq and is a predicted model, not a curated record. NCBI's taxonomy places the organism in Eukaryota, Metazoa, Chordata, Mammalia, Artiodactyla, Monodontidae.